This 301-nucleotide ribosomal RNA is filed under the name uncultured bacterium. RNAcentral describes it as "partial 16S ribosomal RNA". It matches the Rfam family "Bacterial small subunit ribosomal RNA", at positions 509 to 807 of the family's 1533-position model. The record is from RNAcentral.
CAGCCGCCGCGGGAAUACGUAGGGUCCGAGCGUUGUCCGGAAUUACUGGGCGUAAAGAGCUCGUAGGUGGUUUGUCGCGUUGUUCGUGAAAACUCACAGCUCAACUGUGGGCGUGCGGGCGAUACGGGCAGACUAGAGUACUGCAGGGGAGACUGGAAUUCCUGGUGUAGCGGUGGAAUGCGCAGAUAUCAGGAGGAACACCGGUGGCGAAGGCGGGUCUCUGGGCAGUAACUGACGCUGAGGAGCGAAAGCGUGGGGAGCGAACAGGAUUAGAUACCCCUGUAGUCCCUGUCUCUUAUAC